GAUGAACGCUGGCGGCGUGCCUAAUACAUGCAAGUCGAGCGAACGGACGAGAAGCUUGCUUCUCUGAUGUUAGCGGCGGACGGGUGAGUAACACGUGGAUAACCUACCUAUAAGACUGGGAUAACUUCGGGAAACCGUAGCUAAUACCGGAUAAUAUUUUGAACCGCAUGGUUCAAAAGUGAAAGACGGUCUUGCUGUCACUUAUAGAUGGAUCCGCGCUGCAUUAGCUAGUUGGUAAGGUAACGGCUUACCAAGGCAACGAUGCAUAGCCGACCUGAGAGGGUGGUCGGCCACACUGGAACUGAGACACGGUCCAGACUCCUACGGGAGGCAGCAGUAGGGAAUCUUCCGCAAUGGGCGAAAGCCUGACGGAGCAACGCCGCGUGAGUGAUGAAGGUCUUCGGAUCGUAAAACUCUGUUAUUAGGGAAGAACAUAUGUGUAAGUAACUGUGCACAUCUUGACGGUACCUACUCAGAAAGCCACGGCUAACUACGUG
Molecule: ribosomal RNA, 497 nt
Filed under: uncultured bacterium
Lineage: Bacteria
Description: partial 16S ribosomal RNA
Rfam family: Bacterial small subunit ribosomal RNA
Source: RNAcentral